This 1393-nucleotide long non-coding RNA is filed under the name Homo sapiens (human). RNAcentral's name for it is "HSALNT0304888". The record is from RNAcentral. Lineage: Eukaryota; Metazoa; Chordata; Mammalia; Primates; Hominidae.
GGCAGAGCCUCACGACCUCAUCACCUCCCCACCUUUCAAACCUGUUCACUGGGGAUUAAGGGAUUAAGUUUUUAACACAUAAACUGUGGGGAAAACAUUCAAACCAAAGCAGCGUGGAAAUGUCUCUUCCCACCUGAGGCAGACAAGGCUGCUGCUUAACUUGUGGAACUAACCAGUUAAUUGGCUAGUGAUCCAGUUCAGGGGUUGUGAAGCCAGUCGCCACCCAGCAGGUUCUGUGAACACACUCUUUUGGAGUCAAGCGUCACCUGUUGGUUACCUAGUGCCUGUAGGCAUUUCAUGAUAUAAGAGACCGCAUGACCAGGUAAGUCUAGAAUAUCUCAAAUCUGGCGCUUUACGGAAAAGGUCUGCCACUCCUGCCUGAAUUAACAGCUUCUCUUCCCCGACCUGCUCUCUCUUCCUCUGCCUUUGGCCCUUCCUUCCUCAAUUCCCAUCUAGAAUGAUGACACAGCUGUAAUCACAUCAGCUUAUGACUACUGAGCUCAGACCCCAGCCAGGCACUACCAUGGCUUAAUCCUCACCAUUGCCACUUUGUUGCUCAAAGUGGGGCCCCUGGACCAGCAGCAUUAGCAUCAGCUGGGAGCUCAUUAGAAAUGCAGAAUCUCAGCCCCGCCCAGACCUGCUGUCUGGGAUCUGCUUUUCAACCAGAUCUGCAGGUGGUCUGUGUGCACAUUAAAGUUUGAGAAGCACUGGUCUAGACGAUCUCCUAGCAACAUCUUGCUGAGGUGGGGAGAGAAUGUUUAAUGUUUAAUUAAUGUUUAAUUCCUUCUGGGAGCCCAGGAAGAAAGCCUUGGCUGGGUCUCUCCCUCUUUAAGUUCUGGCCUUCUUCCAAAGAACAAAUGCCGUCAUUAGCACCCCUUUUCACACACACACACACGCAGACUCUGCACUAGACACCGAUUCCCUUAAUCUUGUUAGAGUUCAUUCAUUUAUUCAACAAAGAGCUGUGGAGCUGCUACUAUGUGGCAAUCUUAUAGGCCCUAAGGACGGUGCCAGACAGAUAGGGUCCCUGCUCUAUUGGGCCUUUAUCUGUCCAGGGAGCCAGACAUGGAAGACAUCAUUAUAUACAAGUUUGGCCCCCUUUCCUAGCCGUCCUCCCCUAGACUCAGUCUCCUCUCUGAGCUGCUCGCCUCUUGGAAUGGCCUUCACCCUUGGUGGUGUGGCUUUGACUGUCUAUACUUGUCAUCACGGCUGCCUCCAGAGCACAGACAGUGCCCACUGCAGGAAGAAGGUGGCCGUCCUCCCUACUGGUCACCACCUUUAGGAGAAGCAGAGUCACUGCCUCGGCUGGCAGAUGGUCCAGCCUCCGGGACUUCCCAUUCUUCCACCCAGUUGGGCCCCCCUUGACUGUGACGGUGCAGGGCGUGAGCCACCA